Non-coding RNA from Sus scrofa (pig), 6303 nucleotides. NCBI's taxonomy places the organism in Eukaryota, Metazoa, Chordata, Mammalia, Artiodactyla, Suidae. The record is from RefSeq and is a predicted model, not a curated record.
AAAAAAAAGCAGCAAUCGAAGUCAGGGGAUUCAAGGGCUAUUUCCUGGUCUUUUAUGACAGUCCAUUCAUUUUACUGACAUUUUAAAUCUAAUAAACACUCUCAUUUGCCCCAAACCAAAAAUCCUAACUCUUCCUGCAUUACAUGUCCUAUUGCCACCAUGAGUGACCUUCCAGGGUGGAUGUUGGCACAGCUCCCCCUGUGCUUUCCCCUAAAGGAUAGGGCCCUAAGGAAAAUCAGGCUUCAUGCACUUUCCUGUGACCUGUGGGCCUUCCCUCUCUGCCCACUGUUGCAAAUUUCCAAGAAUUUCUCACAGGCUCACUCAGGCAUGAGAAGCCUCCAAGCUGCCAUGUUUUGAAAAAGUAGUGCUGGCCAGGCUGCUGUGACAGCCCCUCCCCUGGAGACCAAGGCCAAGGUCCCCACGGGAGGUCCAAGUCCUGAGCAGCAGGCCCCAGAGAGGGCUGAGGGGAAGUGGGAUAUGGGCACUUGGUUUGCUUUUAAAAUCUGCUCUGGAGCCAGCGUUUAGGUUUGGGCUUCCUGUGUAAGAGAGAAGGAAUUCCCAUCACCCCUGGACUUGACACUUCCCUGUACAAAAAUAAGUCACCGUUAAAGAACACACUUUGAAUAUAGUAAACAGGGUUUGUAUAAAAUAAAAAGGGUCAUUCUGCAUUGUGUAAGAAUGCUUUUUACGUUUAAAGAGGCCAUGUGACAAUGAACUCCGUACUUUGGCCUCUAAAGAAAAUCUCCUUGGAUGCUAUAUUCAAGGUGUUCCUUCCUUUGCCCCUCCCCCCAUUUUUUUUUUUUUUUUAAUACAACAGCUACAUUGGAGUUUCAGAGAAACUGACUUUCAGCACCUGUGCUCCAAGAUCUUGUUAGAUUCCCCAAAGUAUCGCCACAAUCAGGUUCUUGUAUUUCUUCUGAAAACCAGCCCUGUUGAAUGAGAUCUAAAGUGGACCCGUUAGAUCUUUAGUUGCUGAAAUAUUAGGACAGGAGCUCGGUUUCCCUCUCUUUUUUCCCCCUAAAACCAAAACCAUGGAAGUUGAUAUUUCCUAAACGCAAAUGGUGAAGUACAAACUUCGAAGGCAAAUUAGGCAAAUGGAGGAUGAUUCAUACGUAGCCAACUGGCAAGUCUGUUAAACUCGGGAGCGAUCAGUAAAAGGGAGAACUGGUGCGAGUGUCAUUAAUCAUUUGAACACCGCCCCUUCCCUCAGUCCUGUCUGGUGCUCUUGGCACUUUGAUUGCUGCUUUCUCAUUGGCAUCUGUAUUUCUAUUAUAAAAAAAAAAAAAAAAAAUAAAGUAGGUGUUUAAAAGUAACUCUGGUAAAUCAGAGAUACACAGUCCCUCCGCACCUGCAGAUUCUAUCACCUGCGGGUUAAAUUAAGGUUGUGGAAUCCGUGGCUUCGGCUGCCAAUUAUACUGGCUUCCAACCCCAUUUCUAUAUUCCGUUCCCAGUGUCUACACCUCUUAAAAUGUUUUCAGCUGGGGUAGGGCCCCUACGUUUAAACUGAAGACAGGAUCCGAAGUCCUGUCCUGGCUCAGCGGUUAACCAACCGGGCUUGUAUCCAUAAGGGCGUGCUGUUUGAUCCCUGGCCUCGCUCAGUGGGUUAAGGAUCCGGCAUUGUCAUGAGCUGGGUGUACGUGAGAGACGGCUCCGAUCCUGCGUUGCUGUGUCUGCGGCCGGUGUGGCCCUAAAAAGACAAACAACAACAGCAAAAACCCCUAAAGACACGUGGGGCUCAACCCACUUUGUUGGCUGCUUGGUUUGGAAAAAAAGGAGGAAGUUGUGCCAAUUCUGGCUUGGGAGCGGUGCCUCCAGGCGCCUGCGCACUGAAGGCGGGGAGGUGGAGUUGUGUGCGCCUGCGCAGGCCCGCAGUCAGGGGCCUUGGGACCGGGUGGGGACUAGGGGAGCUGUCAGCGUAGCUGCUCUGCGCAUCAUCGCCUCACCACUGCCCAGAUGCUUCCUUCAUUGUGGCCAGAACAGAACUCCCUGACCAGGAGCGCACCCCUUCCCAAUGACUCGCAGGCCCGCAGCGGGGCCCGGUUCCACACGUCCUACGACAGGAGGUACGUCAUCAAGACCAUCACGAGCGAAGACGUGGCCGAGAUGCACAACAUCCUCAAGAAGUACCACCAGUAUAUAGUGGAAUGUCAUGGGAUCACCCUUCUUCCCCAGUUCCUGGGCAUGUACCGGCUCAAUGUUGACGGAGUUGAAAUAUAUGUGAUUGUCACGAGGAAUGUGUUCAGCCACCGUUUAUCUGUAUAUAGGAAGUACGACUUAAAGGGUUCCACAGUGGCCAGGGAAGCUAGUGACAAAGAAAAGGCCAAAGAACUGCCAACUUUAAAGGAUAAUGAUUUCAUUAACGAGGGUCAGAAGAUUUAUAUUGAUGACAACAACAAAAAGGUAUUCCUGGAAAAACUGAAGAAGGAUGUUGAGUUUCUGGCGCAGUUGAAGCUCAUGGACUACAGCCUCCUGGUAGGAAUCCACGAUGUGGAAAGAGCUGAGCAGGAAGAAGUGGAGUGUGAAGAGAACGACGGGGAGGAGGAGGGGGAAAGCGAAGGCACCCACCCCGUCGGAACCCCUCCCGACAGUCCCGGAAACACGCUCAACAGCUCCCCGCCCUUGGCUCCGGGCGAGUUUGAUCCAAACAUUGAUGUUUAUGGAAUUAAAUGCCAUGAAAGUAAGCGGGGUUACUAUCAACGCUUUUUCUACCAUUGGUCUGGGUUUUUUUGCAUUGUUAUCUACCAGGAAUCAAUACCCCAGUUAAAAGCAUGCUGCCCUAUACGAACCAUUCUCCAGAGUCCCCCUAAUGGAUUUCAGGACAAGAGUAUGUUAAAGGUAACUGUCAUGUCUGGUUCUGAAGUGUCACGUGACAGGUCCUUGAAUUAUGUGACGUUGAGGGAACAGAACGGAGUGUGUUGCAUACGUACAGCGCACAUGCACAUGCUGUGUGAAUAUCCGUACCAUAUGUGACGAAGGUCUUCAAAUAGCUUUUCUCUUAGCUGUCUCUCUUUCCUGCGGCUCUCAAGUGUCUCAAGUCUGUCCUGAGCUAGGUACAUACGCGGUCCACUCCAAACCUCCCAUGGACGCGUCACGCACACCAGGCAUCGCAUUGCCACCAGCCACUUCCUUCUCAGAAGUGCUGAUGCUGGCCCCGGGAGCCAGAGGAGAAGCUCUGAUGUCCUCUGCUCUUCUCCCCCAUUAAGGGGUGGGUCUGUGGCCCUCUUCUCUAAAGUGAGAUCUGUCAAAAUCUGGGUGAUGGGAUAUCUGUAGGCAUACUACAUGCUACCUGAGCUACUUGCACAGGAAACCACCAAAAUAAUUUAGAGAUGAAAGCAUGCCUCUGAUUAAUAAAAACUGUGGUUCAUCAUUGUUUAGAAAAUAUCUCAUGGCAUAGCAGCCAGGUAAGUUUGCGUUGUGUAGUUGCAUUUUUUAUUUUGCUCACCAAAAUUGUCUCUUGGACACGGAAAGUUAGAUAUAGUCAAACGUACUUUUUCUUAUUGUUCAUAAUUGAAGCAGCAUCCUAUUCGUGGAAAUAGUAGAAGAUAUUGUAGAUGAUAUAUGCCUUUAUCCAAUUUUGAUACUAGAUCCAAUGAGAAUUAGGAACUGUUGUAUGUAAUGGUAGAAAAAAAUUAGGGAAUGUAAUUACUUCUACUUGUUUUAGAGAGUAUUUUUUAAAAUAGCAUUUUCCUUUACACCAAAGCAAUACACAAUUAUUAAAGAAUAUGCAGGUUAAGAAAAAAGGAAAAAUACUCAGUCUUACUGUUGGACCUCCUCUGCUAUAUUCUGGGGUUAUAUCCUCCUUUUACUUCUUAAACUGAGAGAGAACUGGGGACAAAAAGCUAAAUAAGCUGUUUCACAGGCACACGCAAGACUUUUUAAAGGCCUCUGCUGCCUUUGUUUUUGGAUCCCUUCAAUCCCUUCCAGUUGGACUCCCAGCCCCAUCAGAAGCUCAAGCCUCUCCAGGGUUGUCACCUGUCCUACAAUCACUGCUCUCAUCCCUUUACAGACUCGCCUAGGAAAGAGGUGUACUUUAUGGCAAUUAUUGACAUUCUGACUCAUUACGAUGCAAAAAAGAAAGCUGCCCACGCUGCAAAAACUGUUAAACACGGUGCUGGCGCAGAGAUCUCCACCGUGAACCCAGAACAGUAUUCGAAGCGCUUUUUGGACUUUAUUGGCCACAUCUUGACGUAACAUCCUGCACGGCCACAGACAGAUGUGAGCAUGGGAAGGACAGAGGUGGCUUCAGCGCAGGAAAAAUGAAAACCAAACUCAGUGAAGCACACCUCCUCGUUUACACCUUCAGGCCAAGACGACUGAUUUGGGGGCUACUCGCUUUAACAGCUACCUGAUAUUUCCCAGCAUCAUUCUAGCUAUUUCUGACGUGUGCGCGCGCGUUUGUGUGUGUGCGUGUGUGCAUCUUAAACAUUGAUCAGUGAAAACCGACCAGCUUUGGUCAGAGUGUGUUGGGGGCAACAACCCUCUGACUGCAGCUGUCGACGAAUGAGUGAGUGAGUGAGUGAGUUGGCACCUGCAGGGGGCGGGGAGAAGGCUGCGCAUGUCAGACCGACCAGGUCGGCACCACACGAGAAACUGUGGAUCAGUUUAUUUUUUGGAGUUGAAAGAUGUGAGACAGUAUUCGUAAUAAUAAUGAAGAUAAUAAUAAUGAAGAUAAUAAUAAUGAUGGUGAUUAAAAGAGGGGAAAAAACUUACCGCAAAUGUCACACUCUACUACGCACGCUGACACUCCUUCUUAACAGUCAUACCCCGGCCCCGGGCGGAGGAGGCUGGCAUCCCCCGUGCGUCCUGGUUCAGGUGUCGGCAUUCCCAGUGUCCAGGGACACACACCCCUCCUUCGGCAGGAAGCUGAUGCCCCUGGUGACUCUCUCUGUACAUUUUCACCUCAGUAAAUAUGUCCAGGAAAACUGCUUCUCUUUUCUUGCCUGGAGCUUCUUCACUGAUACACUCUUAUGUUGCAAUAUAGGAAUUAAUGCUACAAAAUAAAAUAAAGCUUUCCUUAAAAGUGCAUCGUUUUGGGCAAUGGUAUCUGCAUCUCCCAGAGUGGGAAGGCAAGCAAAGCAUUUAGAACUCUCAAUUCUCCUGUUAAACCAUAGUAUUUUGUUAUGAAUUAUCCCUUUAAUUGAAACCCUCAAUAUUACUGUUUACAUUAUUAGGAAAACAGGGAUUUUUUGAAUCUAAAAAUUUAAUGUACAGCAUGUGAUUUUUGAAGUUUACAUGUAAAGUCACUUGACAGUGUAGGUGAAAUGUUUGUCCUAUUUUGAAAUGUAUCCUGCAGUCACAUUUUGGGGUGAAUGUUUUAUUCAAAGUACCUGGUAGGCAGUCUUUUACAGGAAAAGGAAAAGGUUUGAUUUGUUUCCUCCAGAUAUACAUUUAUUAACCUAGUGAUUUUUUUUUAAGAAAAUGUUUAACCCAGAUCUGGUUAUGUAUGUUCAUUGCCCUAAACUGUGCUGUGUCUAAUCAAGUUAUAAAUUUCCAACACUGAUCAUGUAUUUACCAACUUCCGGCAUUUUCUGAAAGGCGUCAAGUGAAUACUAGAUUUGCUUAGAAUAGGUUAUCAAUUUAUACACUGUGCUAAAGCUGUGCCUUUGAAAUUCUCUGUUUAAAACGUGAGAUGAUUUUUGUAGGCAGGUUCAGAAAAGAAAAAAAAAAAAAAUCCCACUCUUCAAUAAUUACUUACAACUCAGCAAAUACCCCCUGCCAUACUGCCUCUUCCAGUGACUUGACUUCAGGGCUUACCAGAUCUGUGACUGCACCCCGUGUAUGUGGGUUGACUCUCGAACACACAAGGUGACAGCAAGUUGGAAUCCUGGGAAGCCAGCAGCAAGGCCAUUCUGCUCAUCUGCGGACUUCUCAUAGUUGUUAUCCUCAACAGAUGAUGUCAACGGCACUGUGACCUGUUGUCCAAAUCUGUUUUUUGUGUGUUUAAAUGAAUGGAGAUGGUGAUUUAAUACCCCCGCCCGUAAUUCAUUCUGGCAUCAAGUCCCUCUCAGUGUUCUGAAGUUCUGCUGUGGUUUCUUUGAUCCACGAUUACAGAAGUGAGACCCUGAAGUAAAGAGAAGGUACCCGUACAUUAUUUGAGUAACUGUUUCCUUUGUGGCCAAACUGUGUAUGCUUUUAGAAGUUUACAAAAUGCUUUAUUUUUGUCUGUAACAGUCUCUGUCUUCCAUUUCUGUUGGUCAACUCCUGGGACAGAGUGAGGACGUUUGCCUUGUAUUUCCUAGUGCUAACAGUACACUCCAGUCAUGAGCCAGGCUUUACGAAAUAAAGCACUUUGAUGACUCACAA